Molecule: long non-coding RNA, 2189 nt
Organism: Homo sapiens (human)
Lineage: Eukaryota; Metazoa; Chordata; Mammalia; Primates; Hominidae
Source: Ensembl
GCUAUUCUCUGGAGUCAGAUGGAUAAAGCUUCAGUUUCCCAGGUAACCAACCAUGGAUCUGAGCUGAGUGACCCAGUGCCGAUGUGAAGAAGAAUGUUGCCAAGACAACGGAAUCCAUACCCCUUUCCAGCACUGAGGCCUUCCUCCCUCUCACUACCUGCUUGGAUCUCAGGCUUUACCCCAUAAAGACAAAGAAACUGGCUGAGGAGACAAGAGAAAGAAAGUAGCAGAAGAUGGGAAGGAAACAGACGGAGUCUCACUUGUGUUGCCAAGAGAGCUUGAGCAUCAACUGGCAGUGAGGAUGGCAGGAAAGCAACUGACUUAUCCCCUCUCACCAGACCUUCCAACUGUCUGCAACACUGGCAUUGCCACGUAUCCCGGCACGUUGUUGAUCCCAUUGUGGCAUUGUGGUCAGAGAAUAUACAAAUCGCUGAAGAAUCCAUUGUUUAUGGACAUUCCUGGGAUAGUAUUCAUUUAAAUAUCUCUAUGUACACUGUAAUGGAAUAUAAUACAAAAAUGGAGUUGCACGCAAAAUGAGGGUACCACUCAGUAAAUGGUUCCACAGGGACGUCUGAUCCCCUACGAUCUGGGUUAAGAAAUGGUGUAGUGUAUUGCCGGCAGCUCAAAAGCACUCUCAUGCCAGUCACUCUUGUCUUCCACCUCAGCAAAUCUAACCACUCUUGUGACUUUUAACACUUGACGAUAAUCCUGCCUGUUUGUGAACGCAUUACACAUGAGUAGACUCAGUACAGUACGUAUUUUAUAAUCCGGGUUUCUCUUGGCAACAUUAGGUUUUUCUCCUUGCUAUUCACUUUUGUCGUGCUGUGUAGCUGAAUUUCGUUUCUUUGCAUUCCUGCGCAGUGUUUUGAAUUGUAUGACGAUGCCACAAUUUAUUCAUGCCUUUUAUUUCUAAUGGGCUCUUCAGUAGUUUCCAGCGCUGGAGUGUUAGUGUUAUUAUUGUGGUGCACGUUCACAAGGAUGUCCUUUGGUUAACAUGCGUAUGCAUUUAAGGCUGUGCUUGCAGGACUGCUUUGAUUACUUUUUCUUCCUUCAUGGCACUGUAAGUGGUGACAGUGGAUGUAUCUGGUUUUUUUUUCCCCCUGAUCUCAGAGGGAAAGCUGUCAACAUGUCACCCGUAAGUAUCGUUGUUUUUGUAGGCUUUUAAAAUAUAUUCCAACGGAAUCAAGAGACUUCCCUUUUGUUCGUAGUUGGCUAAGAGGUUUUAUCAUAAGUGCAUGGUCAUUUAAAAAAAAUCAAACCCAUGAAAUACCCUUCCUGCGUCUGUAGGGAAUAUCAUAUUUUUUCUCCUUCAUACAUUACUUCUGAGAGAUAGAUUUUUCAAGCGCUGAACCGCUUCAUUUCUAGAAUACUCUUGACUUGUUUGUGAUACGUUUUCCUUUUUGGAGAUUUAACUGAUUUGUUUUGCUAAUGCUUUAUUCAAGAUUUCUUCUUCUGUGCUUAUGUAAAAGAUAGGCCUGUGCAUUUCAUUUCUUACCAUGCCCUUUAAGGUUUUUCCCUCAUAAAACGGGAUGGGAAGCAUUUCCCGUUUUUUAUGUUACUUGGCAAGAAGGUAAGAUUGAUAUUCCUUCCUUCACAAACGUUUUGUAGAAUUAAUCGGUGGCAGCAUCAGAGUCCGUAGGUUCUUGUGGCUGUUGCUGUUGUUUCCUUCAGAUUCCGCCCGUUUAGAAUUUGUAGGACAAUUCAGAUGUUUAGUCUGUUUUCUGUCAUUUUGUUGUAUUUUCUUGAAAUGUGUAAAUUAUAUCCAAAGUUUCACGUUUGUGGGCAUAAAGUUGCUCAUGGUUUUGAAUAAUGAUCUCUUUAAUGCCUUCAUUGCCCAUAGUGAUGUCUCCUUAGCCACUCCAGACACGGGUUGCUUCAUGAUUUCUCUCCUUUUUGUUCAGGCCUACACAAGGCAUGUCUUAAUCACAUCAUCUUUUCAAAAAACCACCUCUGGCUGUGUUGUUUUAUCUUUAACUGAUUUGUACUUUUAUCGUUAUUUCAUUUCUUCUGCUUUCUUCAGGUUUAAUCUGUUGUUCAACAUGGUUAAGAAAGAUGCAAAUGUUGUGCCUUUCUUUUUCAUGCAAUCUAGACAAUUAAAAUAUAUCCCAUAAGAUUUCAUCAGGUUCAAAAUACUUUGCGAUUUCAUUGGUGAUGUUUUCCUUGAGCUAUGGGUUAUUUAGAAAAUAGGA